UGAAAACAUUUUAUAAAGUUCAAACCUUAAAAAGUUUAUAGAUAUAUUCAUAAAUAACUGCGUUUGUUUUAACGUUUAGAAUUGUUGAGAAGAAUUCGGAAUUUAUUCGAAAAGUGAAUUCGCCAAAAUAUUUUCGUUUGAUGUUGUGGAUAAUAUAGAAAAGUUAUCUAAAUAACUCUUGGUGCAGUGACGGAGCAGAAGAAACUUCAACUAAGGGAACUCAAGUGAGGGGAAUCAAAGAUUAUUAAUUGUUUCAAUACCAGUGUUAUAACUACUUACAUUACUAUGGCUUCCUCUAAUGAUCAAAAUCCCUCUCCGACUGGUUACAAAAGCAUAGAAAUGCAUCAAGUAGAAGAAAUUAAUGCUAAUGUGGAAUGUAUUAAAAAGGAAAUCAAUGCUAUAAUCGCUCAACGGAAUAAUUACUGGUGUAAAAUACAAACAGUACUAGAUUUUUGCAACCAGAAUCGCAGCAGUGACCCGAAAAUUCGGCAUAUUAUAAAUAUACUUUCUGAGGGAUUUGAGAAUGACUGUUCAUUGCAGGAGAAAGAACCCAAUGAUGCUGGGAGUCAAUAAGCGUUUUCAUUUACAAAUUCUUGUUUAAGUUUCACUUGGUUAUGUAUUUACGUUUAAUAUUGAGGAUCCUUACAGCUUAAACUAAUGAAUGUGAUGAACAUCUGGGAUUAUGGUAUAUGAAAAUUCAUUUUCUAUCUGUAACUUAAAGUAAACAAAUGGAUUUGUGUUGGUUGACUUGCGCUAAAUACGACCACGGCUUUACGAAAAUACUGCAUUUGAAAAUCCAAUCAUACACCAAAUCCUUGGAAUUAAUGAUAUAUUUAGUUUAGAAAAUCUAACCACUACAUAAAACGUAGCUUAAAAGAUAUAUUUAUAUUCGUGUGUUUAUAAAUGAU
Teleopsis dalmanni is the source of this 908-nucleotide long non-coding RNA. RefSeq lists it as uncharacterized. The transcript is spliced from 4 exons. The record is from RefSeq and is a predicted model, not a curated record. NCBI's taxonomy places the organism in Eukaryota, Metazoa, Arthropoda, Insecta, Diptera, Diopsidae.